UCCGGUUUUUUAUCCCCGAGGAUCGCUCCUCGGGGCCGCGAUAUGACUCACGGCACGAGCUGACGACAGCCAUGCAACACCUAUCGAGGGCCCUUACGGACACUGCGUCUCUGCAGCUUUUCCCUCGUAGUUCAGCCCAGGUAAGGUUCUUCGCGUUGCCUCGAAUUAAGCCACAUGCUCCGCCGCUUGUGCGGGUCCCCGUCAAUUCCUUUGAGUUUUAGCCUUGCGGCCGUACUCCCCAGGCGGGGUGCUUAAUGCGUUAGCUGCGGCACGGAAGACGUCGAUAGCCUCCCACACCUAGCACCCAUCGUUUACGGCUAGGACUAC
This 327-nucleotide unclassified non-coding RNA is filed under the name uncultured Actinomycetes bacterium. RNAcentral describes it as "uncultured actinobacterium contains 16S-23S intergenic spacer region". Lineage: Bacteria; Bacillati; Actinomycetota; Actinomycetes. The record is from RNAcentral.